CCUAUCAAAGUUUUCUUCUUUUUUUUUUUUUUUUUUUUUUUUUUCUCAUCCUUUAAGUCAAUCAGAAUUAAAAUAUACAUAUAAAAAAACAGAAAAAAAAAAAUAAUGAAAAAAAAAAAAAAAAAACCAAAAAACUUUACCAAACAAUCAGGUCGAGUCACUGGGUAUCCACGCGGGUUACGUAGGUUCAAGAUGCAAUUCCUUUGGUGCAAAAACGGCAUCGUUUGGUUUCCAUUUCCAAAAUCGGCAUCUUUUUCCUUAUUUUCCCUCGUCUCUGUUAAGCUUCUCGGCUUUCAAACUCAGCCAAAAUAUCAAUAGCCUAACCCAGAAACUAGCGUUUGCCAAGUCGUCUGCUAUUCGCCACCACCACUGGCCGCCAGGGAUUUCUUUUGUCUUUCACACCGCAACGCUGAAGCCAAAAAGAAAAAACCAUAACCCAGAUCACCGUCUUUACGAUUCCCGCCAUCAAUCGCCAACACCCAAAGCCCAAAAGAACCUUUUCAAUUCCUCCCAACCUCCGCUUCCUCUUUACCAAAUUAGAUUUAUGAGAAAUUUUCACCAGAAACUCAAAAUAAUAUUGCAAUUCCCACAAUUCAAAACACCUUCGAUUGCUGCCCAGCCUUCUUCCUUCACUAACGAUGCAGUUCCUCACUUUCGCUGCUUUGCUUGAACCCUAGAAGAGAACCUAGAAACUCCCAAAAAAUUUCAAACAAAACCUUCAGAAAAAUCCCUUUUAUUGCCCACUUCUUGCUUUUUGCGAUUUUGUGUGGAUUGCUGCUAUUUUCUGAUGAUUGUGUUUACGAUGGACUGCGACUUUUCUCUGUGGGUUUGGUCAAUUGUGGCUGCUGGGUCUGCUUCUUUUAAGCUCAAAUUUUGGAUUUUUGUUCUGCCUUUUCAAUUUUUUAAAAUCUAUGUUUGCUUUGUUUCUUUCCUCUGUUCCAAAUUUGGUGGGUAGGAGUUUCUGGAUUGGGGUCCCAAUGUGCUUGAUUGAGGCUGUGUGUGCUGACUCUUUUUAGAUUCUUUACUGCUGGAAAUUAGUUCUUGAUUCUAUCUGUACUUUGAUUUACUUGUAGGCUUUUCGGAAUUGCCCACUUUAUUAUUGCUCGGGACGACUCAGUGUUGGUUUUUUAAUUUGACUGUUGAUUGUAUGCUGUUGAUUACCAAUUGCUGCCCUCAGUUCCUUGAUCUGUUAAUUAACCGUUCUCGCUUAAUUGCAUUCUUCGAUUCUGCAAUUUUGCUUCUGUCUUGCUAUAUUACUUCUUGGUUUAUGCUUCUGAAACAACAAACUUUUGCUGCCAAUUGCCUCUGUAUUGAUUGUGAAUUCCUUUGAGGCCCCCUUUAAUCGUAGAUUCAAGUUCUUAUAUAGUGAUUGAAAUCUCAAUUUAAUUCAGAAAAUUUUAAUUCCAUCAAAUUUAGAAAAAUUCUUCAAGAUUCAAUUUUCUAUAAUCUUCUCUUUUUUCAAUGAAUAGAGGUUCAGUCUUUUUCCACAAGACACCUACG
This 1500-nucleotide long non-coding RNA is filed under the name Durio zibethinus. RNAcentral's name for it is "long non-coding RNA (DZIB_LNC000198)". Lineage: Eukaryota; Viridiplantae; Streptophyta; Magnoliopsida; Malvales; Malvaceae. The record is from RNAcentral.